AUACGAAGGGUGCAAGCGUUACUCGGAAUUACUGGGCGUAAAGCGUGCGUAGGUGGUUGUUUAAGUCUGUCGUGAAAGCCCUGGGCUCAACCUGGGAACUGCGAUGGAAACUGGGCGACUAGAGUGUGGUAGAGGGUAGCGGAAUUCCUGGUGUAGCAGUGAAAUGCGUAGAUAUCAGGAGGAACAUCCGUGGCGAAGGCAGCUACCUGGGCCAACACUGACACUGAGGCACGAAAGCGUGGGGAGCAAACAGGAUUAGAUACCCUGGUAGUCCACGCCCUAAACGAUGCGAACUGGAUGUUGGGUGCACUUUGGCACGCAGUAUCGAAGCUAACGCGUUAAGUUCGCCGCCUGGGGAGUACGGUCGCAAGACUGAAACUCAAAGGAAUUGACGGGG
Molecule: ribosomal RNA, 397 nt
Filed under: uncultured bacterium
Lineage: Bacteria
Description: partial 16S ribosomal RNA
Rfam family: Bacterial small subunit ribosomal RNA
Source: RNAcentral